RNAcentral lists this transfer RNA (65 nucleotides) under Ctenochauliodes punctulatus. Its description in RNAcentral is "tRNA-Thr". It matches the Rfam family "tRNA". Rfam says of the family: Transfer RNA (tRNA) molecules are approximately 80 nucleotides in length. Their secondary structure includes four short double-helical elements and three loops (D, anti-codon, and T loops). Further hydrogen bonds mediate the characteristic L-shaped molecular structure. tRNAs have two regions of fundamental functional importance: the anti-codon, which is responsible for specific mRNA codon recognition, and the 3' end, to which the tRNAs corresponding amino acid is attached (by aminoacyl-tRNA synthetases). tRNAs cope with the degeneracy of the genetic code in two manners: having more than one tRNA (with a specific anti-codon) for a particular amino acid; and 'wobble' base-pairing, i.e. permitting non-standard base-pairing at the 3rd anti-codon position. Lineage: Eukaryota; Metazoa; Arthropoda; Insecta; Megaloptera; Corydalidae. The record is from RNAcentral.
GUUUUAAUAGUUUAAUAAAAACAUUGGUCUUGUAAACCAAAAAUAAGAAAUUUUCUUUUAAAACU